AUUGAACGCUGGCGGAAUGCUUUACACAUGCAAGUCGAGCGGCAGCGCGGGGCAACCUGGCGGCGAGCGGCGAACGGGUGAGUAAUGUAUCGGAACGUAUCCUUAAGUGGGGGACAACUAGUCGAAAGACUAGCUAAUACCGCAUACGAUCGAGAGAUGAAAGUGGGGGACCGCAAGGCCUCACGCUUUUGGAGCGGCCGAUAUCCGAUUAGCUUGUUGGUGAGGUAAAGGCUUACCAAGGCUAUGAUCGGUAGCUGGUCUGAGAGGAUGAUCAGCCACACUGGAACUGAGACACGGUCCAGACUCCUACGGGAGGCAGCAGUAGGGAAUAUUGGACAAUGGGCGCAAGCCUGAUCCAGCCAUGCCGCGUGAGUGAAGAAGGCCCUCGGGUUGUAAAGCUCUUUUGUCCGGAAAGAAAAGCACUGGGUUAAUACCCCGGUGUCCUGACGGUACCGGAAGAAUAAGCACCGGCUAACUUCGUGCCAGCAGCCG
This 492-nucleotide ribosomal RNA is filed under the name uncultured bacterium. RNAcentral's name for it is "bacterial SSU rRNA". It matches the Rfam family "Bacterial small subunit ribosomal RNA", at positions 30 to 517 of the family's 1533-position model. The record is from RNAcentral.